Molecule: ribosomal RNA, 466 nt
Filed under: uncultured bacterium
Lineage: Bacteria
Description: partial 16S ribosomal RNA
Rfam family: Bacterial small subunit ribosomal RNA
Source: RNAcentral
GACGAACGCUGGCGGCGUGCUUAACACAUGCAAGUCGAACGGAAAGGCCCUGCUUUCAGUGUACUCGAGUUGCGAACGGGUGAGUAACACGUGGGUGGUCUGCCCUGCACUUCGGGAUAAGCUUGGGAAACUGGGUCUAAUACCGGAUAGGAACCAUCUUUAGUGUGAUGGUUGGAAAGUUUUUUCGGUGUAUGAUGAGCUCGCUGCCUAUCAGCCUGUUGGUGGGGUCAUGGCCUACCGAGGCGGCGACGGGUAGCCGGCCUGAGAGGGUGUACGGCCACAUCGGGACUGAGAUACGGCCAAGACUAGUACGGCAGGCAGAAGUGGGGAAUAUUGGACAAUGCGAGGAAGCCUGAGGCAGCGAGGCCGCGUGGGCGAUGAAGGCUUUUGUGUUGUAAAAUCAUUUCGGUAGGGAACAAGGUUCGUCGUGACGGUACCUAGACAAGAAGCCACGGCUAACUACGUG